ACAAGAAGUGGUCCUGAAUUGCUAAACUUGCACAAGCCACCGAGGCAGCAUCAGUGUCAUCAACCUCUGAUCCGACAGAGUUUGUCAAAACAGGUAUUCCUGAACCAAGACCAACAAGUACACUGCUAACACAAAUUUUCAACAGUGAAGGCUGCCUAGUAUUCAGCUUAUUUGAUUUAGGAGAACUAUCUUAUCCCUCACCCAUUCUGAACAAGACCACUUUAGAUUCAAAAGUGGCAACGAUAAAAAAAAAAACUCAAAGCCAAAGUGAAAAUCUUGGAUGGCCAAACUGAAGUUGAAUGCGAGAAGUAUUGAAGAGAAACAGGCAUGAAAAGGUGCUCUGCAAAGAGCAGAAGGUUUUCAGGUGAAAAACAAUGUGGAAUUGCUUGCUAAAUCUAUUAAGAAACAAGAUGAAAUCAAAUCAAAUUGUAAAAGAAGUUGGCUGAACGCAUCGAAGAAUAGGAAAAGAGAAAGGAAUAACAACAGAAAACGAGAAAAGCCAACAUUAAGAAAAAGAAAACUGAAAAGAAAGAACAUAAACCGAAUGAACACCGCACACUUAACAGAGAAAAAGCUGGAAUUGUCUGAUAAGACAACGAAAAUCAAACUUUAACGGAAGUUCGAGGGAAUGAAGAAGAAAUUAAAAAGGAAAAGUAAGAAGAAGAGGUCCUGAAUUGCCAAACAUGCUCGAGCCACCAAGGCAGCAUCUGUGUCAUCAACCUCUGGUCUUUCAGAGUUUGUUAAAACAGAAAUUCCUGAAGCAAGACUAGCAAGUACUCUGCCAACACCGAUUUUUAACAGUGGAGGCUGCCUAGUUUCCGGCAAAUUUGACUUUGGAGAACUAUCUAAUUCCUCACCCAUUCUGAAUAAGACCACUUUAGAUCCAGAAGUGGCAACGAUUAAAAUGAAAGAAAAUAAAACUUAAACCAAAAAUGAAAAUCUUGGUAGGCCAAGCUGAAGUUGAAAAUGCAAGAAGUAUUGAAGAGAAACAGGCACGAAAUGGUGCUCUGCAAUUAGCUGAAGGUUUUCAGGUAAAAGACUAUGUGGAAUUGCUUGCCAAACCAAUUAAUGAACGAGAUCAAAUCAAAUCAGAGAGUAACAAAAAUUGCGCUGAACGAAUCGAAGAAAAGGAAAAGAGAAGGGAAUAACAACAGAAAAGGAGAAAAGCCAACAUUAAGGAAAAGAAAACUGAAAAGAAAGAACAUAAAGUGAAUAAACUAAAGAAAAAAGGCAAAUUUAUCGCAUGAAAGACUGAUACUGACUGAUGGAUCAGCUAAACUUGUGUUCUUUCAUGUGCAGCCAUGUCGUGAUAGUUUUUUAGAAAAAUACACUGAUAUGCCUUCCAUGAUC
Molecule: long non-coding RNA, 1350 nt
Organism: Daphnia carinata
Lineage: Eukaryota; Metazoa; Arthropoda; Branchiopoda; Diplostraca; Daphniidae
Exons: 4
Source: RefSeq, a predicted model, not a curated record